UAACGUAGUGAAACCACAGCUUAAAGAA
This 28-nucleotide small RNA is filed under the name Bombyx mori (domestic silkworm). RNAcentral's name for it is "ovarian small RNA-18878". Lineage: Eukaryota; Metazoa; Arthropoda; Insecta; Lepidoptera; Bombycidae. The record is from RNAcentral.